ACACCAAGCCUUCAUUAACAAUUUUCAAACCUCACUUCUUCUCGCUCAAGAACGAAACUGAAACAAACAAAGGUGAAGAAAAAAAGGCUCAAAAAUCACUUCAAUCUUCGAAAUCAACAUCCAUCAUUCAAUUCAAUUCAUCUGGCGCACGCGGAAUCAAAAAGAAAUGAAAACGAAUUUGAAGCAAGAACUCAAUGAAUCAGAGUUUCGACAUGAACAGGUACCGAAUCUCCUCCCUUCUCUGUUUCGAUUCCUCCUUCUCAAAUUCUUCUACUACCAUGUGCGUUGAAUCGAGAGCAGUUGUAGCGGGGAAUUGAGAAUUGAGAGUUGCAGCGAGGAGUGAAAAUCGUGAGAGAUUAUGAGAGUUGCGAAUAACAAUGAAAUCGUGAGUUUGAAGAGUGAAAAAUUAUUUAGAAUGAAAAAUGAAUCGUGAAAAUUGAAGAAAUGAAAAUCGCCAGUGAUGAAGGUUGCAGGGUUAGCUUAAAUAGGAUGAAGAUGUUUGAUCCGUUGAUCUUCAUUAAUUCAUUUUUGUCAAUUCUAUUGAAAGUUUUUAACACUGUGAAUUAGUUAGUUGGUUAGUGUGAACCUAUUAACCGUUAGUUUGAAUUUUGGAGUGAAGUUAAACGUGAGUUGUUGUGAAGAAAAAUUAGAAGAGUUAAUCGGUUUUGAAUCUGUUAAUUUAGCUAAGUGAAUGCUAUGGUUAGUGAAAAUGAAUGAAAUUAGUUUUUUUUGAAGAGUGAAGUUAGUGAUGGAAAUUGGUUCUGUUAAUUUUUGCAGGGCCAAUUGAAACUGGCUUUAUUAGAAUUUGAUGCGAAUUGGAAUUUGGCUUGUGAAACUAAUUGGCUGCAUUUGGCAAUUGUUUUUGCAGGUGAAUGAGUUUGGAAGGUUUUUGGAAUAUUGUUGAUCAUAAGCUAUGCUUGGAAUGGAUUUGGAUUGUUAUAUUGACUUGAUUGUGUUGUAAUUUUGAAGUUGAAAUAUGUGAAGUGUAUUGAAUACUGUAACUUGUAAUCAAUGGUUGAAUGUUGGUUUGUGGUAUUGAAUAAUGUACAUGGAAUUGAAUGAAGAUGAAUGUAUUUGGGUAUUGAACAUGUAUGGCUUAUGUAUUUGAAAAUGGAAAUUGAAUGGUUGAAUGAAAUAUUGGAAUCAAUAGCUUAUGUAUGAAAUCGUUUGGUUAGUUUAAUUGUUAGAUUGAUUGGCUAUGGUGAAA
This 1207-nucleotide long non-coding RNA is filed under the name Lathyrus oleraceus (garden pea). RNAcentral describes it as "Pisum sativum (pea) long non-coding RNA (PSAT_LNC037917)". The record is from RNAcentral. Lineage: Eukaryota; Viridiplantae; Streptophyta; Magnoliopsida; Fabales; Fabaceae.